This 490-nucleotide ribosomal RNA is filed under the name uncultured bacterium. RNAcentral's name for it is "bacterial SSU rRNA". It matches the Rfam family "Bacterial small subunit ribosomal RNA", at positions 27 to 507 of the family's 1533-position model. The record is from RNAcentral.
GGACGAACGCUGGCGGCGUGCUUAACACAUGCAAGUCGAACGGUGACGAGGAGCUUGCUCCUCUGAUCAGUGGCGAACGGGUGAGUAACACGUAGGAAUCUACCCUUAAGACGGGGACAACCAGGGAAACUUGGGCUAAUACCGGAUGAGAGUGCGAGAGAUUGCAUUUAAAAGGAUGGCGAAAGUUGUCGCUUAGGGAUGAGCCUGCGGUCUAUUAGUUAGUUGGUGAGGUAAGAGCUCACCAAGGCGAUGAUAGAUAGGCGGCCUUAACGGGUGGUCGCCCACACUGGGAUUGAGAUACGGCCCAGACUCCUACGGGAGGCAGCAGUCGAGAAUAGUCUACAAUGGCCGGAAGGCUGAUAGUGCGACGCCGCGUGAACGAGGGAGCCCUUCGGGGUGUAAAGUUCUUUUCUAUACGAGCAGUGCUAUAUAUAUGGAUAGUAUAUAUAGAGGGAUAGUAGUAUAGGAAUAAGCAACGGCUAACUCCGUG